AUUGAACGCUGGCGGCAUGCUUUACACAUGCAAGUCGAACGGUAACAGGUUAAGCUGACGAGUGGCGAACGGGUGAGUAAUGCAUCGGAACGUGCCCGAUCGUGGGGGAUAACGCAGCGAAAGCUGCGCUAAUACCGCAUACGAUCUGAGGAUGAAAGCGGGGGACCGUAAGGCCUCGCGCGAUCGGAGCGGCCGAUGUCAGAUUAGGUAGUUGGUGGGGUAAAGGCUCACCAAGCAAACGAUCUGUAGCUGGUCUGAGAGGACGACCAGCCACACGGGGACUGAGACACGGCCCAGACUACUACGGGAGGAAGCAGUGGGGAAUUUUGGACAAUGGGCGAAAGCCUGAUCCAGCAAUGCCGCGUGCAGGAAGAAGGCCUUCGGGUUGUAAACUGCUUUUGUACGGAGCGAAAAGGUCUCCUCUAAUACAGGGGGCUCAUGACGGUACCGUAAGAAUAAGCACCGGCUAACUACGUGCCAGCAGCCGCCGUAA
RNAcentral lists this ribosomal RNA (493 nucleotides) under uncultured bacterium. RNAcentral's name for it is "partial 16S ribosomal RNA". It matches the Rfam family "Bacterial small subunit ribosomal RNA", at positions 29 to 523 of the family's 1533-position model. The record is from RNAcentral.